GAUGAACGCUAGCGGCAGGCCUAAUACAUGCAAGUCGAACGGGAUUGAGGAGCUUGCUCCUCAUGAGAGUGGCGCACGGGUGCGUAACACGUAUGUAACCUACCUUAAUCAGGGGAAUAGCCUCUCGAAAGAGAGAUUAACACCGCAUAAAAUCACACUAUGGCAUCAUAGAAUGAUCAAAUAUUUAUAGGAUUAAGAAGGGCAUUCGGAACAUUAGCUAGUGGGUAAGGUAACGGCUUACCAAGGCUACGAUGUUUAGGGGAUCUGAGAGGAUGGCCCCCCACACUGGUACUGAGACACGGACCAGACUCCUACGGGAGGCAGCAGUAAGGAAUAUUGGUCAAUGGGCGGAAGCCUGAACCAGCCAUGCCGCGUGCAGGAAGACGGCCCUACGGGUUGUAAACUGCUUUUGUACCGGAAUAAACCUUUCUACGUGUAGGAAGCUGAAUGUACGGUAAGAAUAAGGAUCGGCUAACUCCGUGCCAGCAGCAGCCGCAG
RNAcentral lists this ribosomal RNA (498 nucleotides) under uncultured bacterium. RNAcentral's name for it is "partial 16S ribosomal RNA". It matches the Rfam family "Bacterial small subunit ribosomal RNA", at positions 28 to 523 of the family's 1533-position model. The record is from RNAcentral.